GUGGGGAAUAUUGGACAAUGGGGGCAACCCUGAUCCAGCAAUGCCGCGUGUGUGAAGAAGGUUUUCGGAUUGUAAAGCACUUUCGGCGGGGACGAUGAUGACGGUACCCGCAGAAGAAGCCCCGGCUAACUUCGUGCCAGCAGCCGCGGUAAUACGAAGGGGGCUAGCGUUGCUCGGAAUGACUGGGCGUAAAGGGCGCGUAGGCGGUUGACACAGUCAGGUGUGAAAUUCCCGGGCUUAACCUGGGGGCUGCAUUUGAGACGUGUGGGCUAGUGUGUGAGAGAGGUUUGUGGAAUUCUCAGUGUAGAGGUGAAAUUCGUAGAUAUUGGGAAGAACACCGGUGGCGAAGGCGGCAACCUGGCUCAUAACUGACGCUGAGGCGCGAAAGCGUGGGGAGCAAACAGGAUUAGAUACCCUGGUAGUCC
This 425-nucleotide ribosomal RNA is filed under the name uncultured bacterium. Its description in RNAcentral is "partial 16S ribosomal RNA". It matches the Rfam family "Bacterial small subunit ribosomal RNA", at positions 354 to 796 of the family's 1533-position model. The record is from RNAcentral.